UGGCCUCUAAAGGAAUGCCACGGGGAGGA
RNAcentral lists this non-coding RNA (29 nucleotides) under Rattus norvegicus (Norway rat). The record is from RNAcentral. Lineage: Eukaryota; Metazoa; Chordata; Mammalia; Rodentia; Muridae.